Molecule: non-coding RNA, 301 nt
Organism: Cinara cedri
Lineage: Eukaryota; Metazoa; Arthropoda; Insecta; Hemiptera; Aphididae
Source: the annotation of a GenBank genome assembly
CCCAUUUAGACCAGGAAUAUUUGUUAAAACGUCUUCAUUUUUUCUAACAAUAUCCAUACUUUUCACUAUUAGAUUCUUCCAAAUUUUUAAGAUUCAUGGAUAACUUGGAUAAAUGUAAUUUUAUGAGUGCUGAACCACAUAAAAUUACAUAAAUAAAUAUUAUAUUUCUGUAUUAUCUGUUCCACAGAUUUUCAUGUUUGCGGUAUAAUUGCACAAAUUUUUAUGCUGUUUCUUCACUCCAACGGUUAGACAUUUCGAUUUUCAAAUUUCACUUCUCACAAUUUUACGUACGCGCACGAUA